GCACCACUGAGGAGUCCCAUCACAGAACGAAACGGCCGUCCGGUGC
This 46-nucleotide non-coding RNA is filed under the name Schistosoma mansoni. Lineage: Eukaryota; Metazoa; Platyhelminthes; Trematoda; Strigeidida; Schistosomatidae. The record is from RNAcentral.